AGUGAACGCUGGCGAUAGGCCUAACACAUGCCAGUCGAACGGCAGCACAGUAAGAGCUUGCUCUUACGGGUGGCGAGUGGCGGACGGGUGAGGAAUACAUCGGAAUCUACUUUUUCGUGGGGGAUAACGUAGGGAAACUUACGCUAAUACCGCAUACGACCUACGGGUGAAAGCAGGGGAUCUUCGGACCUUGCGCGAUUGAAUGAGCCGAUGUCGGAUUAGCUAGUUGGCGGGGUAAAGGCCCACCAAGGCGACGAUCCGUAGCUGGUCUGAGAGGAUGAUCAGCCACACUGGAACUGAGACACGGUCCAGACUCCUACGGGAGGCAGCAGUGGGGAAUAUUGGACAAUGGGCGCAAGCCUGAUCCAGCCAUACCGCGUGGGUGAAGAAGGCCUUCGGGUUGUAAAGCCCUUUUGUUGGAAAAGAAAAGCAGCAGGUUAAUACCCCGCUGUUCUGACGGUACCCAAAGAAUAAGCACCGGCUAACUUCGUG
Molecule: ribosomal RNA, 492 nt
Filed under: uncultured bacterium
Lineage: Bacteria
Description: partial 16S ribosomal RNA
Rfam family: Bacterial small subunit ribosomal RNA
Source: RNAcentral